RNAcentral lists this ribosomal RNA (529 nucleotides) under uncultured Alcaligenes sp. Its description in RNAcentral is "bacterial SSU rRNA". It matches the Rfam family "Bacterial small subunit ribosomal RNA", at positions 8 to 526 of the family's 1533-position model. The record is from RNAcentral. Lineage: Bacteria; Pseudomonadati; Pseudomonadota; Betaproteobacteria; Burkholderiales; Alcaligenaceae.
AGAGUUUGAUCCUGGCUCAGAUUGAACGCUAGCGGGAUGCUUUACACAUGCAAGUCGAACGGCAGCGCGAGAGAGCUUGCUCUCUUGGCGGCGAGUGGCGGACGGGUGAGUAAUAUAUCGGAACGUGCCCAGUAGCGGGGGAUAACUACUCGAAAGAGUGGCUAAUACCGCAUACGCCCUACGGGGGAAAGGGGGGGAUCGCAAGACCUCUCACUAUUGGAGCGGCCGAUAUCGGAUUAGCUAGUUGGUGGGGUAAAGGCUCACCAAGGCAACGAUCCGUAGCUGGUUUGAGAGGACGACCAGCCACACUAGGACUGAGACACGGCCCAGACUCCUACGGGAGGCAGCAGUGGGGAAUUUUGGACAAUGGGGGAAACCCUGAUCCAGCCAUCCCGCGUGUAUGAUGAAGGCCUUCGGGUUGUAAAGUACUUUUGGCAGAGAAGAAAAGGUAUCCCCUAAUACGGGAUACUGCUGGCGGUAUCUGCAGAAUAAGCACCGGCUAACUACGUGCCAGCAGCCGCGGUAAUAC